RNAcentral lists this transfer RNA (92 nucleotides) under Pseudodesulfovibrio sp. RNAcentral describes it as "tRNA-Ser". It matches the Rfam family "tRNA". Rfam says of the family: Transfer RNA (tRNA) molecules are approximately 80 nucleotides in length. The record is from RNAcentral. RNAcentral also lists the same sequence under 2 other names. Lineage: Bacteria; Pseudomonadati; Thermodesulfobacteriota; Desulfovibrionia; Desulfovibrionales; Desulfovibrionaceae.
GGAGAGGUGUCCGAGUCCGGCUUAAGGAGCACGCCUGGAAAGCGUGUAACGGGGUAACUCGUUCGGAGGUUCGAAUCCUCUCCUCUCCGCCA